Molecule: ribosomal RNA, 885 nt
Filed under: Bacillus sp. HPC969
Lineage: Bacteria; Bacillati; Bacillota; Bacilli; Caryophanales; Bacillaceae
Description: bacterial SSU rRNA
Rfam family: Bacterial small subunit ribosomal RNA
Source: RNAcentral
AGCUGGCGGCGUGCCUAAUACAUGCUCUUCGAGCGGAUCGAUGGGAGCUUGCUCCCUGAGAUCACCGGCGGACGGGUGAGUAACACGUGGGUAACCUGCCUGUAAGACUGGGAUAACUCCGGGAAACCGGGGCUAAUACCGGAUAACACCUACCCCCGCAUGGGGGAAGGUUGAAAGGUGGCUUCGGCUAUCACUUCCAGAUGGACCCGCGGCGCAUUAUCUAGUUGGUGAGGUAAUGGCUCACCAAGGCGACCAUGCGUACCCCACCUGAAAGGGUGAUCGGCCACACUGGGACUGAAACACGGCCCAAACUCCUACGGGAGGCAGCAGUAGGGAAUCUUCCGCAAUGGACGAAAGUCUGACGGAGCAACGCCGCGUGAGUGAAGAAGGUUUUCGGAUCGUAAAUCUCUGUUGUUAGGGAAGAACAAGUGCCGUUCGAAUAGGGCGGCGCCUUGACGGUACCUAACCAGAAAGUCACGGCUAACUACGUGCCAGCAGCCGCGGUAAUACGUAGGUGGCAAGCGUUGUCCGGAAUUAUUGGGCGUAAAGCGCGCGCAGGUGGUUUCUUAAGUCUGAUGUGAAAGCCCACGGCUCACCCGUGGAUGGUCAUUGAGACUGGGGAACUUGAGUGCAGAUGAGGAAAGUGGAAUUCCACGUGUAGCGGUGAAAUGCGUAGAUAUUGGGAGGAACACCAGUGGCGAACGCGACUUUCUGGUCUGUAACUGACCUGAAGCGCGAAAGCGUGGGGAGCAAACAGGAUUAAAUACCCUGUUAGUCCCCGCCGUAACGAUGAGUGCUAAGUGUUAGAGGUUCCGCAGUUAUUGCUGCUCUAACGCAUAAGCACUCCGCUGGGGAGUACGGUCGCAGACUGAAACUCAAUGAAUU